GGGUGAAAGGCUGAAGUUGACAGCUACAUAUUGAAAAUACUUUGGAAGUCUUGAUCUCUUUGCAAAAUGCAUUGCAAACAUUGGCUUCCAGCCUGGGGAUGACGACAGGACCUAGCAAACAGAAUCCAAGAGCCAGGAAGUAGAUGGCUAAGCAAAUGUGCCCCCCAAAGCUGACAUUUUUAACCAGAUUAUCUGUGCCUUUCCUGUAGUUUUAUUCUAUCAGCAACUGCAGAGAAUUUGUUAGUGCAGUUGAAGGUUUUCCCAUUUGUUUACUGGAAACUUCGUUCUCACUCCAAGUCUUCUUAUUCUGAGGAGGUGUCACCUUCUAUGUAAUAUCACUUGGAUACUGAAACUUCUCCCUGAACUGGAAGAAUGUAUGCUUCAGUGUGGUAAGCAGAAUUUCUAAAAUGACCUCUUCCUUUCUGAG
Molecule: long non-coding RNA, 427 nt
Organism: Nomascus leucogenys (northern white-cheeked gibbon)
Lineage: Eukaryota; Metazoa; Chordata; Mammalia; Primates; Hylobatidae
Exons: 3
Source: RefSeq, a predicted model, not a curated record